ACUCCUACGGGAGGCAGCAGUGGGGAAUAUUGCACAAUGGGGGAAACCCUGAUGCAGCCAUGCCGCGUGUGUGAAGAAGGCCUUCGGGUUGUAAAGCACUUUCAGUAGGGAGGAAGGUAGUGUAGUUAACACCUGCAUUAUUUGACGUUACCUACAGAAGAAGCACCGGCUAACUCCGUGCCAGCAGCCGCGGUAAUACGGAGGGUGCGAGCGUUAUCCGGAUUUAUUGGGUUUAAAGGUCCGUAGGCGGAUUAAUAAGUCAGUGGUGAAAUCCCAUCGCUUAACGAUGGAACUGCCAUUGAUACUGUUAGUCUUGAAUGAGGGUGCAGUGGUUGGAAUGUGUAGUGUAGCGGUGAAAUGCAUAGAUAUUACACAGAACACCGAUUGCGAAGGCAGAUCACUAACCCUAAAUUGACGCUGAGGGACGAAAGCGUGGGGAGCAAACAGGAUUAGAUACCCUGGUAGGUAC
This 469-nucleotide ribosomal RNA is filed under the name uncultured bacterium. RNAcentral's name for it is "bacterial SSU rRNA". It matches the Rfam family "Bacterial small subunit ribosomal RNA", at positions 335 to 796 of the family's 1533-position model. The record is from RNAcentral.